AGCCUUCUUUGCCGACCCAAAGGCCACAGUGCCUUUUCUUUUGUGAACCUUGAGGCCCCUGGCAAGCAUCCAUGCUGCUUCGAUGUCCAUUCCUAAAAAAAAAAAAGAGAGAGAAAAAGAGAUCAGCAACGGAGUGAGAAAAAGAAGAGGUGAUGCAUGGUAAAAAAAAAGGGGGGGAGAGAAGAAGAAAAGAAGAAGGAAAGGAAAGAUGGAAUACUCGCAGGAUCCAGGAGACUCAAGCCGAUGUUG
Molecule: long non-coding RNA, 249 nt
Filed under: Elaeis guineensis (African oil palm)
Lineage: Eukaryota; Viridiplantae; Streptophyta; Magnoliopsida; Arecales; Arecaceae
Description: long non-coding RNA (EGUI_LNC074423)
Source: RNAcentral